This 448-nucleotide ribosomal RNA is filed under the name uncultured bacterium. RNAcentral describes it as "bacterial SSU rRNA". It matches the Rfam family "Bacterial small subunit ribosomal RNA", at positions 329 to 793 of the family's 1533-position model. The record is from RNAcentral.
GGCCAGACUCCUACGGGAGGCAGCAGUGGGGGAUAUUGCACAAUGGGGGGAACCCUGAUGCAGCGACGCCGCGUGGGUGAAGGAGCGUUUCGGCGCGUAAAGCCCUAUCGGCAGGGAAGAAGGAGGACGGUACCUGACUAAGAAGCCCCGGCUAACUACGUGCCAGCAGCCGCGGUAAUACGUAGGGGGCAAGCGUUAUCCGGAUUUACUGGGCGUAAAGGGGGCGCAGACGGCAGCGCAAGCCAGGAGUGAAAGCCCGGGGCCCAACCCCGGGACUGCUCUUGGAACUGCGCGGCUGGAGUGCAGGAGGGGCAGGCGGAAUUCCUGGUGUAGCGGUGAAAUGCGUAGAUAUACGGAGGAACACCAGUGGCGAAGGCGGAUUGCUGGACAGUAACUGACGUUGAGGCUCGAAAGCGUGGGGAGCAAACAGGAUUAGAUACCCCUGUAC